AUUGAACGCUGGCGGCAGGCCUAACACAUGCAAGUCGAGCGGAUGAAGGGAGCUUGCUCCUGGAUUCAGCGGCGGACGGGUGAGUAAUGCCUAGGAAUCUGCCUGGUAGUGGGGGAUAACGUCCGGAAACGGGCGCUAAUACCGCAUACGUCCUGAGGGAGAAAGUGGGGGAUCUUCGGACCUCACGCUAUCAGAUGAGCCUAGGUCGGAUUAGCUAGUUGGUGGGGUAAAGGCCUACCAAGGCGACGAUCCGUAACUGGUCUGAGAGGAUGAUCAGUCACACUGGAACUGAGACACGGUCCAGACUCCUACGGGAGGCAGCAGUGGGGAAUAUUGGACAAUGGGCAAAAGCCUGAUCCAGCCAUGCCGCGUGUGUGAAGAAGGUCUUCGGAUUGUAAAGCACUUUAAGUUGGGAGGAAGGGCAGUAAGUUAAUACCUUGCUGUUUUGACGUUACCAACAGAAUAAGCACCGGCUAACUUCGU
RNAcentral lists this ribosomal RNA (483 nucleotides) under uncultured bacterium. RNAcentral describes it as "partial 16S ribosomal RNA". It matches the Rfam family "Bacterial small subunit ribosomal RNA", at positions 30 to 506 of the family's 1533-position model. The record is from RNAcentral.